This 2726-nucleotide unclassified non-coding RNA is filed under the name Hevea brasiliensis (rubber tree). The record is from RNAcentral. Lineage: Eukaryota; Viridiplantae; Streptophyta; Magnoliopsida; Malpighiales; Euphorbiaceae.
AAAAAAAAAAAAAAAAAAAUGGUUGUUCGUCAUCUCUGUGGGUUACAAAGGAAACGUCUCCCUUCGUCCCUGUAAAGACUAAAGACGUUCCCUCUAUGGUCUCCCCCCAGUCUCUCUACUGCACAAAUCAAUGACUUCUACGAAUUCUCUCCUCAAAGUUCUCCUUAGAAGCCCCAACACUGUAAGCUCCAAAUACCAAGCCAAACAGCUGCAUGCUCAAAUCCUCAAACUCAAACCUUCCUCUUCCACUCACCUGUCCGCUCUCAUCUCCAUCUACGCCAAAUUUAAACUUUUACAUGAUUCUCUUCUUCUCUUCAGCACCCUCCACUCACCGCCAAUUCUUGCCUAUAAAUCCAUCAUCAGAUGCUACAUUGCCCAUAACCUUUUUGUUCAAUCCCUGGGAUGUUUUAUGCAAAUGAGAGCUUCUGGUAAAUACCCAGAUCAUAAUGUGUUCCCUUCUGUGGUCAAGUCUUGCGCCUUGUUGUUGGACGUAAAAUUAGGCGAGUCUGUUCAUGGGUGCAUCAUUAGGUUCGGUAUGGACUAUGAUUUGUACACGUGCAAUGCGCUUAUGAAUAUGUAUGCCAAAUUUCAUAGUUUGGGACUGAGUGGCACGCAUGGGAAUGGCAAGCAUAAGAUGCUUGAUGGAAUGUCUGAGAGAAUGUUUAGUAGUGAAGUUAGUGGCGAAUUGAUACACAAGUUUGAGAAACGGAUGAUGAGUAUUGAUCAAAAUGUUAGUUUGAACAAAGUUAAAUGUGUUUCGCCUCAAAUUAAUGGAAACAUCGAAUUCACUGAUCGAUCUUACAGGGAAACUCAUGAUUCUUACAUGGGAGAGGAAGAAAGGAGUACAAGAAUGGAUAGUGUGAGAAAGGUUUUUGAGAUGAUGCCUAGGAGAGAUCUUGUUUCUUGGAAUACAGUGAUUGCAGGGAAUGCACAGAGUGGGAUGCAUGAAGAAGCUCUAAUGAUGGUUAGGGAGAUGGGAAAUGCCAACUUGAAGCCUGAUUCGUUCACUUUGUCAAGUUUGCUUCCUAUCUUUGCAGAAUAUGUGGAUGUCAGCAAGGGGAAAGAGAUUCACGGGUAUGCCGUAAGAAAUUGCUUUGAUGAAGAUUUUUUUAUUGGUAGUGGCUUAAUUGUCAUGUACGCAAGGUGCAAUAGAGUGGAAGAUUCAUUAUGGGUGUUUAGCAUAUUGCCCCGACAAGAUGCCAUUUCAUGGAAUUCUAUUAUUGCAGGGUGUGUGCAGAACAAUCUGUAUGAUGAGGGCCUGAGGUUAUUUCAGCAGAUGUUGAAGGCUAAAGUUAAGCCUCGGCAGGUUUCUUUUUCCAGUAUCUUACCAGCUUGUGCUCAUUUGACAAAAUUAAAUUUGGGAAAGCAGCUGCAUGGAUAUAUAAUUAGGGCUGGAUUUGAUGAUAAUGUGUUUAUAGCUAGUUCACUUGUGGACAUGUAUGCCAAAUGUGGGAAUGUUAAAGUAGCUAGAUGGAUCUUUGAUAAAAUGGAGCUGCAUGACAUGGUGUCAUGGACAGCCAUUAUCAUGGGAUGUGCUUUACAUGGUCAUGCCCAUGAUGCUAUUUCCUUAUUUGAGCAGAUGGAAAUGGGAGGAGUGAGACCAAACUAUGUGGCUUUUGUGGCUGUGUUAACUGCUUGUAGUCAUGCUGGUUUGAUAGAUGAAGCUUGGCGAUAUUUUAACAGUAUGACUCAGAAUUAUGGAAUUGCACCAGGCUUAGAGCACUUUGCUGCAAUGGCAGACCUACUUGGUAGAGCAGGAAAGUUGGAUGAAGCUUAUAAGUUAAUCUCCAGUUUGGAGAGACCUGUAGGAAGUGUUUGGUCAACGUUGCUUUCUGCAUGUAGAGUCCACAAGAAUGUUGACUUGGCUGAAAAGGUUGCCAAGGAGAUAUUUGAAGUUGAUCCAGAGAACGUAGGAGCUUAUAUUCUCUUGUCAAACAUAUAUGCUGCUGCUCAGAGAUGGCGAGAUGCAUCAAAAUUGCGAGUCUUUAUGAAGGUUAAGGGCAUAAAGAAAAAUCCUGCUUGCAGCUGGAUUGAAGUUAAAAACAAGAUGCAUGCUUUUGUGUCUGGAGAUAAGUCCCAUCCAAGUUGUGAUAAAAUAUAUGAGACUCUGAAAGUCCUACUAGAGAAGAUGGAACAAGAAGGAUAUGUUCCUGAUACAAGUGAGGUGUUUCAUGAUGUUGAGGAGGAGCAGAAGAAGCAAUUAUUGUAUGGCCACAGCGAGAGACUUGCUAUAGCAUUUGGCAUCAUUAGCAUCCCUGCUGGGACAACAAUUCGAAUCACAAAGAACAUUCGGAUGUGUGCAGACUGCCAUACAGCAACUAAAUUCAUAUCAAAGAUAGUUGAAAGAGAGAUAGUUGUGAGGGAUAAUAACCGCUUUCACCAUUUCAAGGGUGGAAAGUGUUCAUGCGGAGAUUAUUGGUGAUAGGAGUGGGAGACGUCCUACAGUUUUCUGUUAUCAUUAGCACUCAGGCCAGGAGAAAAAUUUGAACAACAUUCAGGUCUGUGUAGACUUCCCAUGCAAAGAGUAUUUCAUCUAAGAUUUCAGAGAGGGAAAUAAUAAGGGUUGAAUUAACAAUUUAACAAGAUGUGGAAAAUGUGAUUUGGUCAGCCUAUUUAUAAGCCUUCACAUAAUCAAAGGGUAAGUUGCUCUCAGGUGCCAAAAAAAAAAUAAACUGUAAUAACCUGCAAGUAUGCAACAUGAGAUGCGAUUCAUCUGUGUAUUAUUA